Molecule: non-coding RNA, 73 nt
Organism: Gopherus evgoodei (Goodes thornscrub tortoise)
Lineage: Eukaryota; Metazoa; Chordata; Testudines; Testudinidae
Source: the annotation of a RefSeq genome assembly
GCCAAAGUAGUUCAGUUGGGCAAGCGUUAGAUUGAAAAUCUAAAGGUCCCUGGUUCAAUCCUGGGCUUUGACA